Molecule: ribosomal RNA, 253 nt
Filed under: uncultured bacterium
Lineage: Bacteria
Description: partial 16S ribosomal RNA
Rfam family: Bacterial small subunit ribosomal RNA
Source: RNAcentral
UACGUAGGUGACCAGCGUUGUCCGGAUUUACUGGGCGUAAAGAGCGCGCAGGCGGUCGUUCAAGUCGAGUGUGAAAGCCCCCGGCUCAACUGGGGAGGGUCACUCGAUACUGAUCGACUUGAAGGCAGGAGAGGGAAGCGGAAUUCCCGGUGUAGUGGUGAAAUGCGCAGAUAUCAGGAGGAACACCGGUGGCGAAGGCGGUUCUCUGGGAAUGUUCUGACGCUGAGGAGCGAAAGUGUGGGGAGCGAACAGG